AACACUGUCCACUACCCCGGUGCACGUGAGGACGAGCUGGUGCGUGCCUAAAAAGGCGGAGGGCGGGGUGGGUGUGUGCGCGCCUUUGCCAGAAGUCCUGUGCUCUGGAAUCUCAAUCUCCACAGAAUGCCAAGAGUGCUUGCUCCUACAGGGGCCAUCUCGCUAAGUUAACUUCAAGGACUUGGCACAAGACAGAAAAAUAAAACAAAGAAACUCGAAACUCUUCCUCUGCUCCUCCUUUGAACCUCCUGUAAAACUGUAGGUCCCAGGACUAGAGAAUUGCCCACCUUCUUUCUGCAAGCAGCCCUGGACCCAAAGCUUCACCUCUCUGAGCCAGGACGCUGACAAUGACUAACUAGUUUCAGGAAGACUCGACAGGUUCUGAAGUAAACUUUCAAUACUGUGGAUUGGCAGUGAGCGAAGCAGGAGCAUGAGGAUCCACCGUGAUUUCUAUCAGUGUGGAAGAUGCAUGCAUCCUUUCACCUAUGUCUGUUGGUAUCGAACCAGCUAGGAACAUUUUCCAAGAAAAGAGGAACACUUCCGUCCAGGAACUGGACCUCGAGGUUCAAAGCUCCUUCAAAAGCGGAUCUGGCCUUGAGCAGAAACAUAAAGAGGAGAGGAUUCUAACGCAAGUUCCACCUACCCUGCUUGUUGGAAUGGCUGCUCAGAUUUAC
Molecule: long non-coding RNA, 674 nt
Organism: Chinchilla lanigera (long-tailed chinchilla)
Lineage: Eukaryota; Metazoa; Chordata; Mammalia; Rodentia; Chinchillidae
Exons: 4
Source: RefSeq, a predicted model, not a curated record